This 742-nucleotide long non-coding RNA is filed under the name Triticum aestivum (bread wheat). Its description in RNAcentral is "long non-coding RNA (TAES_LNC000652)". Lineage: Eukaryota; Viridiplantae; Streptophyta; Magnoliopsida; Poales; Poaceae. The record is from RNAcentral.
UCCGAUAUACUAGAGAUGGUGAGUCUGAUUUGCCUAAGAAGUUGUCUGGCAGUGUUGUGAUAUCUCUCUAAUGUCCAUUCAAGUACUUGAUGAAUAGGUGUUGCACCAUAUUUGAGGGUAAGAUUGCCUAUAUCCAUGACUAAGCUUUCUUCAUUUUAGUACUAUUGAACCAUAUAUUUAUUUGGCUUAGUUUGUCUUUGCAAAUUUUGAUCGAACUACUAUUUAGCUACUCCACUGAUUUUAAAUUAUCUUGAAGUAAAAAAUGUAAGGUAGGCCAGUCUUUUGUUUGCCGAAAUUAUUCCUUUUACUAAGUAAUCAAGUUGGGUUUGCUACUGUUGUUUGUAACAUUCAACUAGCCUCAUCGUUAUGGAAGAGGGGUUAGUGGAUUAAGGACAGACGUGGUUGGGGCUUUAUUAAUUUAAAGACAAGCAGAACUUGUGCUUUCAUUCUAACUUUAUUGCCACAUUAAUGCAAUUUGAUCUCAGAUAUCCCUUGUGUUGCAGAUAUCUGAUGAUUUUUUAUCUAGCGGCUCUGUUUAUCUUCACUUGAGAUAACAUAAGGAUGUAAUUGGCCCAGUAUACAACCAAGGGUGGUUAGAUAUUUCUGAUUCAUUAGCAAAGUCCUAAAUGGACAAGGAUAUUGCAACAUUUUCUUUGUUCGAAUGUAUUAGUUAUGGUCACACUGAACAAAAGAGAGACCGAUACAUGUUCAAUGCAAUGCUUAUAAGAAAGGGACAUCAUAC